UGAAGCCGCCGAUCUCAACAGUGUCCAAGUCCGGCUCAGUGUUCAAAGCGAUGGGGGUCGUUCCUUAUCUCUGUCUCCUCCUGUCUUGUCUGGCAGGCGUGCGGUCCGAAGUCGUGCUGACACAGCCCAAGUCAGCGGUGGCAAAGCCCGGACAGUCUCACACACUGACCUGUGCAUUCAGAGGGUUCAGCAGCUACUAUAGCGUGCACUGGGUGAAACAGGUCCCCGGGAAAGGGCUGGAGUGGCUGGCUAGGAUAGACUACGAUGACGAUAAAUAUUACGCGCCUGGAGUCCAGAGCCGGUUCACCAUUUCCAAGGGCGGCAGCACCGUCACUCUGCAAAUGACCAGCCUGAAACUGGACGACACGGCCACCUAUUACUGUGCGGGAUACACAGUGAGAGGAUCCGGGACUGGACCGGGACAAAAACCCAGCGAGAGCGCCUGCUCUUCGGGCGCUGAGAAAAAGGGCAGCAGUGAUCUUCCCGGCUUUACUGCGUCGCUCUGGAAUGGGAAGAGGGUUGUCAAUCGGGAUUCAUGA
Molecule: non-coding RNA, 539 nt
Organism: Hypanus sabinus (Atlantic stingray)
Lineage: Eukaryota; Metazoa; Chordata; Chondrichthyes; Myliobatiformes; Dasyatidae
Source: the annotation of a RefSeq genome assembly